GGACGAACGCUGGCGGCGUGCCUAAUACAUGCAAGUCGAGCGAAUCANUGGGAGCUUGCUCCCGGUGGUUAGCGGCGGACGGGUGAGUAACACGUGGGCAACCUGCCUGUAAGACUGGGAUAACACCGGGAAACCGGUGCUAAUACCGGAUAAUCCUUUUCCUCUCAUGAGGAAAAGNUGAAAGUCGGUUUCGGCUGACACUUACAGAUGGGCCCGCGGCGCAUUAGCUAGUUGGUGAGGUAACGGCUCACCAAGGCGACGAUGCGUAGCCGACCUGAGAGGGUGAUCGGCCACACUGGGACUGAGACACGGCCCAGACUCCUACGGGAGGCAGCAGUAGGGAAUCUUCCACAAUGGACGAAAGUCUGAUGGAGCAACGCCGCGUGAGCGAUGAAGGCCUUCGGGUCGUAAAGCUCUGUUGUUAGGGAAGAACAAGUACCGGAGUAACUGCCGGUACCUGACGGUACCUAACC
This 473-nucleotide ribosomal RNA is filed under the name soil bacterium 10G-14. RNAcentral's name for it is "bacterial SSU rRNA". It matches the Rfam family "Bacterial small subunit ribosomal RNA", at positions 27 to 484 of the family's 1533-position model. The record is from RNAcentral.